GAUGAACGCUGGCGGCGUGCCUAAUACAUGCAAGUCGAGCGAACAGACGAGGAGCUUGCUCCUCUGACGUUAGCGGCGGACGGGUGAGUAACACGUAGAUAACCUACCUAUAAGACUGGGAUAACUUCGGGAAACCGGAGCUAAUACCGGAUAAUAUAUUGAACCGCAUGGUUCAAUAGUGAAAGACGGUUUUGCUGUCACUUAUAGAUGGAUCCGCGCCGCAUUAGCUAGUUGGUAAGGUAACGGCUUACCAAGGCGACGAUGCGUAGCCGACCUGAGAGGGUGAUCGGCCACACUGGAACUGAGACACGGUCCAGACUCCUACGGGAGGCAGCAGUAGGGAAUCUUCCGCAAUGGGCGAAAGCCUGACGGAGCAACGCCGCGUGAGUGAUGAAGGUCUUCGGAUCGUAAAACUCUGUUAUUAGGGAAGAACAAAUGUGUAAGUAACUAUGCACGUCUUGAUGGUACCUAAUCAGAAAGCCACGGCUAACUACGUG
This 497-nucleotide ribosomal RNA is filed under the name uncultured bacterium. Its description in RNAcentral is "partial 16S ribosomal RNA". It matches the Rfam family "Bacterial small subunit ribosomal RNA", at positions 28 to 507 of the family's 1533-position model. The record is from RNAcentral.